CGGUUCCUACGGGGGGCAGCAGUGGGGAAUAUUGCACAAUGGGGGAAACCCUGAUGCAGCAACGCCGCGUGGGUGAAGGAGCGUUUCGGCGCGUAAAGCCCUGUCAGCGGGGAAGAAGAAAGACGGUACCCGACCAAGAAGCCCCGGCUAACUACGUGCCAGCAGCCGCGGUAAUACGUAGGGGGCAAGCGUUAUCCGGAUUUACUGGGUGUAAAGGGAGCGUAGACGGUGAUGCAAGUCAGAAGUGAAAGCCCGCGGCGCAACUGC
This 267-nucleotide ribosomal RNA is filed under the name uncultured bacterium. Its description in RNAcentral is "partial 16S ribosomal RNA". It matches the Rfam family "Bacterial small subunit ribosomal RNA", at positions 333 to 616 of the family's 1533-position model. The record is from RNAcentral.